GACGAACGCUGGCGGCGUGCUUAACACAUGCAAGUCGAACGCUGAAGCUUGGUGCUUGCACUGGGUGGAUGAGUGGCGAACGGGUGAGUAAUACGUGAGUAACCUGCCCUUGACUCUGGGAUAAGCCUGGGAAACUGGGUCUAAUACUGGAUACGACAUGUCACCGCAUGGUGGUGUGUGGAAAGGGUUUUACUGGUUUUGGAUGGGCUCACGGCCUAUCAGCUUGUUGGUGGGGUAAUGGCUCACCAAGGCGACGACGGGUAGCCGGCCUGAGAGGGUGACCGGCCACAAUGGGACUGAGAGACGGACCAGACUGCUACGGGAGGCAGCAGUGGGGAAUAUGGCACAAUGGGCGGACGCCUGAUGCAGCGACGCCGCGUGAGGGAUGACGGCCUUCGGGUUGUAAACCUCUGUCAGCGCGGAAGAAGCGAAAGUGACGGUACGUGCAGAAGAAGCGCCGGCUAACUACGUG
RNAcentral lists this ribosomal RNA (472 nucleotides) under uncultured bacterium. Its description in RNAcentral is "partial 16S ribosomal RNA". It matches the Rfam family "Bacterial small subunit ribosomal RNA", at positions 28 to 507 of the family's 1533-position model. The record is from RNAcentral.